CUAACCUGCGGAAGGAUCAUUG
RNAcentral lists this ribosomal RNA (22 nucleotides) under Spyridium buxifolium. RNAcentral describes it as "partial 18S ribosomal RNA". RNAcentral also lists the same sequence under 1 other name. The record is from RNAcentral. Lineage: Eukaryota; Viridiplantae; Streptophyta; Magnoliopsida; Rosales; Rhamnaceae.